UACGGGGGGUGCAAGCGUUAUCCGGAUUUACUGGGCUUAAAGGGUGCGUAGGUGGAUUUGUAAGUCAGUGGUGAAAUCUCCGAGCUUAACUCGGAAACUGCCAUUGAUACUAUAAGUCUUGAAUUAUCUGGAGGUAAGCGGAAUAUGUCAUGUAGCGGUGAAAUGCUUAGAUAUGACAUAGAACACCAAUUGCGAAGGCAGCUUACUAGGGGUAUAUUGACACUGAGGCGCGAAAGCGUGGGGAUCAAACAGG
RNAcentral lists this ribosomal RNA (253 nucleotides) under uncultured bacterium. Its description in RNAcentral is "partial 16S ribosomal RNA". It matches the Rfam family "Bacterial small subunit ribosomal RNA", at positions 524 to 776 of the family's 1533-position model. The record is from RNAcentral.